AGAGUUUGAUCCUGGCUCAGGACGAACGCUGGCGGCGUGCCUAAUGCAUGCAAGUCGAACGGAGAGAACUUCGGUUCUCUCAGUGGCGCACGGCUGAGGAACACGUGGGUUAUCUGCCCUGGUGUGGGGGAUAACAGGUCGAAAGGUCUGCUAAUCCCGCAUACGGUCUGCACAAGCAGAAGAAAGCCUUCGGGCGCACCAGGAGGAGCCUGCGGCCCAUCAGGUAGCUGGUAGGGUAAGAGCCUACCAGGCCAAUGACGGGUACCUGGUCUGAGAGGAUGAUCAGGCAGAUUGGGACUGAGACACGGCCCAGACUCCUACGGGAGGCAGCAGCAAGGAAUUUUCCGCAAUGGGCGCAAGCCUGACGGAGCAACGCCGCGUGCAGGAGGAAGGCUUUCGGGUUGUAAACUGCUUUUGUUGGGGACGAAACGGACGGUACCCAACGAAUAAGCCCCGGCUAACUCCGUGCCAGCAGCCGCGGUAAUACGGAGGGGGCAAGCGUUGUCCGGACUUACUGGGCGUAAAGCGCACGUAGGCGGUCUGGAGCGUCGGUACUGAAAGUGCCCGGCUUAACCGGGCAAGGUGUACCGAUACGACCAGGCUUGAGGCAGUAAGAGGUUGGCGGAAUUCC
This 631-nucleotide ribosomal RNA is filed under the name uncultured bacterium. RNAcentral describes it as "bacterial SSU rRNA". It matches the Rfam family "Bacterial small subunit ribosomal RNA", at positions 8 to 670 of the family's 1533-position model. The record is from RNAcentral.